This is a small nucleolar RNA of Rosa rugosa (rugosa rose), 102 nucleotides long. RefSeq annotates it as small nucleolar RNA snoR99. The transcript has a single exon. The record is from RefSeq and is a predicted model, not a curated record. NCBI's taxonomy places the organism in Eukaryota, Viridiplantae, Streptophyta, Magnoliopsida, Rosales, Rosaceae.
UUGCAAUUGAGGUUAUGCUUGUCCCCACAUCAAUUUUUCAUUCUAUUAACUUUGUCAGCUGGACUUUAUUAACUGCAGCUGAUUUUCAUGAAUGGAAUAUCG